RNAcentral lists this ribosomal RNA (216 nucleotides) under Glomeromycotina sp. RNAcentral describes it as "partial small subunit ribosomal RNA". The stretch from base 40 to 216 matches the Rfam family "Eukaryotic small subunit ribosomal RNA", at positions 686 to 864 of the family's 1831-position model. Lineage: Eukaryota; Fungi; Glomeromycota. The record is from RNAcentral.
GGGUCAGUAGGUUGGUCGUGCCACCGGUACGUACUGGUCUCACUGAUUCCUCCUUCCUGAAGAACCGUAAUGCCAUUAAUUUGGUGUUGCGGGGAAACAGGACUGUUACUUUGAAAAAAUUAGAGUGUUUAAAGCAAGCUAACGCUUGAAUACAUUAGCAUGGAAUGAUGAAAUAGGACGAUCGAUCCUAUUUUGUUGGUUUCUAGGAUUGACGCA